GAGUUUGAUCCUGGCUCAGGAUGAACGCUAGCGGCAGGCUUAACACAUGCAAGUCGAGGGGUAGAGUUAGCUUGCUAACUUGAGACCGGCGCACGGGUGCGUAACGCGUAUGCAAUCUACCUUGUACAGGGGGAUAGCCCAGAGAAAUUUGGAUUAAUACCCCAUAGUGUAACGGAAAGGCAUCUUUUUGUUACUAAAGUUCCAACGGUACAAGAUGAGCAUGCGUCCCAUUAGCUAGUUGGUGUGGUAACGGCAUACCAAGGCAACGAUGGGUAGGGGUCCUGAGAGGGAGAUCCCCCACACUGGUACUGAGACACGGACCAGACUCCUACGGGAGGCAGCAGUGAGGAAUAUUGGUCAAUGGGCGCAAGCCUGAACCAGCCAUGCCGCGUGCAGGAUGACGGUCCUAUGGAUUGUAAACUGCUUUUGUACAGGAAGAAACACUCCCUCGUGAGGGAACUUGACGGUACUGUAAGAAUAAGGAUCGGCUAACUCCGUGCCAG
RNAcentral lists this ribosomal RNA (503 nucleotides) under uncultured Flavobacterium sp. RNAcentral describes it as "bacterial SSU rRNA". It matches the Rfam family "Bacterial small subunit ribosomal RNA", at positions 9 to 511 of the family's 1533-position model. The record is from RNAcentral. Lineage: Bacteria; Pseudomonadati; Bacteroidota; Flavobacteriia; Flavobacteriales; Flavobacteriaceae.